UCCCUGGUGGCUCAGAUGGUAAAGAAUCUGCCUGCAAUGCAGGAAACCUGGGUUCGAUCCCUGGAUUGGGAA
Molecule: transfer RNA, 72 nt
Filed under: Ovis aries (sheep)
Lineage: Eukaryota; Metazoa; Chordata; Mammalia; Artiodactyla; Bovidae
Rfam family: tRNA
About the family: Transfer RNA (tRNA) molecules are approximately 80 nucleotides in length.
Source: Rfam by way of RNAcentral